Molecule: long non-coding RNA, 341 nt
Organism: Serinus canaria (Common canary)
Lineage: Eukaryota; Metazoa; Chordata; Aves; Passeriformes; Fringillidae
Exons: 3
Source: RefSeq, a predicted model, not a curated record
UCCCUGCCUGCAGCACCAGGAGGAGCCUGCUGAGCCAGCACAGGGGGAGGACAAGUGAGCUGCUUUGGGAUGAUGCCCCGGGUGCUUCUGCCUGGCCCUGGAAUAAGGUGCAGCUGACAAGCAAGGCUGGGGGAGCUGUGGAAGAGAAGUGCCCAGAGGAUAACAAGGAAUACAGUGCAGUCAGCUGGAGCUUUCAUUGGAAGCCACACACCAACCCAGGGCUGAAAGGAUGAAGGGAACGUAAUUCAGCACAUUCCUUUGGAGCAGCAGUUGUUCUCCUGGCUGACAGAGGGACCAGAAAAAAUGGUGAUCGACAUAUAAUCUCCACAGCAAUGGCUGAG